UGAACGCUGGCGGCGUGCUUAGCACAUGCACGUCGAACGCCGCACUUUAUUUGAUUUCCUUCGGGACUGAUUAUUUUGUGACUGAGUGGCGGACGGGUGAGUAACGCGUGGGUAACCUGCCUUGUACAGGGGGAUAACAGUUGGAAACGGCUGCUAAUACCGCAUAAGCGCACAGCAUCGCAUGAUGCAGUGUGAAAAACUCCGGUGGUAUAAGAUGGACCCGCGUUGGAUUAGCUAGUUGGUGAGGUAGCGGCCCACCAAGGCGACGAUCCAUAGCCGACCUGAGAGGGUGACCGGCCACAUUGGGACUGAGACACGGCCCAAACUCCUACGGGAGGCAGCAGUGGGGAAUAUUGCACAAUGGGCGAAAGCCUGAUGCAGCGACGCCGCGUGAGCGAAGAAGUAUUUCGGUAUGUAAAGCUCUAUCAGCAGGGAAGAUAAUGACGGGACCUGACUAAGAAGCACCGGCUAAAUACGU
This 478-nucleotide ribosomal RNA is filed under the name uncultured bacterium. Its description in RNAcentral is "partial 16S ribosomal RNA". It matches the Rfam family "Bacterial small subunit ribosomal RNA", at positions 30 to 506 of the family's 1533-position model. The record is from RNAcentral.